UUACCAGUGCAUGUAAGAGUUACAUUUACACUACGGGGUGGCUAUAUAUGUACAUAUAUCAUUCAACUAAAAAAUGCUAACCAUCAUCUGACAAUGCAGAGUUGCCAUAAACCUUGCUGUAAAAACUGCAGUAUCUGUGAAGGACGAUAAAGCAAAGUGCAAUGAAUGAGUUCUGCCUAUAUUAGUUUUCUGUGGCUGCAGAAGGAAUUAUGAUGCACUUACAGGCAUAAAACAGCACACAUUUAUUAUCUCAGUUUCUGUUUUGGGGGAGGUGGAUCCCCUGCUCAGGGUCUCACAUGGCUGCAAUCAAGUUGAAGGUUUGGCUGCAUUCUUGCCUAGAGGCUCAGCUGAACUUGAAUUAGUUCUCAAGCUUACUUGGUUGUUGCUAAAACUUAUUUCCUUGUGCUGUGUGGCUGAGGACACUGGCUUCUUGCUGGCUGUUGGACCAGAGACCAUGCUCAGUUCUCAGCUCCUUGCCAAGUGGGCCUCCCAACGUGUGGGCUACUUACUUCUCCAGAGCCAGCUAACGAGGGAGGAUCCAUGGAGUGUAAGCAGAAUGGAGUCCUGUAUAAUGCAAUGUAAUCACAGGAGCGAUGUCCCAUCACCUUUGUAUAAAGUUUGUUGGUCAGAAGAAAGCCACAGCCCCUAGAAGCAGCUAGUCAUUAUCACUGGCACCAGGGCUGUCCCGCUUGGAGCACUCUAAGGGACCUUGUAGAAUCCACCUGAGAGCUGAUUACAGCUCUCUCAGGGUUGGUCAAGGGUUGCCCCGUGCAGGGGGAUUUCUCACUUCACUGGGUAUACACUGGGUAUAGUUUCAGAAUGAUUGACUCAGUCCUCACAGGCGUCUCUCUUGGGGGCAGCAGAGAAGCCCAGGACGGACAGUGAUAGCUCCCUGGAGCAGCUGAGGUGAGGUGUGAUCAGGGAACUGUGAACAAGCCAAGUCCAAGGGAAGGGGAAGGAGAGAGGUGCAGGAAUUUUCAGCUGGAUACUAACAUUUGCUUCUCUACUAGUCUUCAGACUGGCACCUAGAACAUCCAAGAAAAUCAAUUAAACAUGAGAUUCAUUUGUGCAUUUAUUCACAAAAAUGUCCAUGAAACAUCAUAUUGGCAGAAUUGGCUUCCGUGGAGUGUGACCUCUACCUUUGCGUGAGUCCCCAGAGCUCAGAAGGACCCUGUGCUGGUAUAAUGGUCUGCUGUCACUGUCUUCCCUGAUGAGCUUCCCUGGCUCAGAUGACUGCAAUGCAGGAAACUCAGGUUCAGUCCUUGGGUUGGGAAGAUCCCCUGGAGAAGAGAAUGGCAACCCACUCCAGUGUUUUCUCCAGAAGAAUCCCAUGGACAGAAAGAGCCUGGUGGGCUGUAGUCCAUGGGAUCACAAAGAGUCAGACAUGACUGAAUGACUAAGUAUGCACGCUUGUCACCAUCUUGGAAUUUUAUCUUUGAACUUCUGUUUUGUAAGUGAGGUCUGAUGGAACAAUGACUAUAAGGAGAAAUACAUGCAAUAUGUGUAUUGACUCUUCCCCAUCACUCCAUCUGCACAGAGUCUGUGAUGUCCCAUGAGCAGCGAGUUCUGGAGGACCCAAGAUGCAUAGACGUUCAGGGAGACUCAAAGUGAGUACAAGGUAAACACGGUACCCCUAUAAUUGAGUAACUAGGGUAGAUGCUGACAGCUUCAAGUGGCCAUGAUUUUUGUUCAUACCAGGACUUUCUUCCAAUGGAGAAAGUAGGUAAAAAUUUUCUGAGAAACAUGAGCAACCAAG
Molecule: long non-coding RNA, 1756 nt
Organism: Bubalus bubalis (water buffalo)
Lineage: Eukaryota; Metazoa; Chordata; Mammalia; Artiodactyla; Bovidae
Exons: 3
Source: RefSeq, a predicted model, not a curated record